UAAUACGGAGGGGGCUAGCGUUGUUCGGAAUCACUGGGCGUAAAGCGCGCGUAGGCGGAUCAAAAAGUUAGAUGUGAAAUCCCUAGGCUUAACUUAGGAACUGCAUUUAAAACUAGUGAUCUAGAAUUUGGUAGAGGAUAAUAGAAUUUCCAGUGUAGAGGUGAAAUUCGUAGAUAUUGGAAAGAAUACCAGUGGCGAAGGCGACUAUCUGGACCAAUUUUGACGCUGAGGUGCGAAAGCGUGGGUAGCAAACAGGAUUAGAUACCCUGGUAGUCCACGCAGUAAACGAUGAGUGCUAGUCGUCGGGUCUUUUGAUUCGGUGUCGUAGCUAACGCAUUAAGCACUCCGCCUGGGAAGUACGGUCGCAAGAUUA
Molecule: ribosomal RNA, 373 nt
Filed under: uncultured Alphaproteobacteria bacterium
Lineage: Bacteria; Pseudomonadati; Pseudomonadota; Alphaproteobacteria
Description: bacterial SSU rRNA
Rfam family: Bacterial small subunit ribosomal RNA
Source: RNAcentral